RNAcentral lists this long non-coding RNA (1027 nucleotides) under Sus scrofa (pig). RNAcentral describes it as "lncRNA (ENSSSCG00035004909.1)". The record is from RNAcentral. Lineage: Eukaryota; Metazoa; Chordata; Mammalia; Artiodactyla; Suidae.
UUAUAAGCUUCCAACAAGUUUUAUACCUCCAGAAAGUCUUCCUCAAAAACCUGGGAACUAUCUUUUUGAAAUGUAAUGAUCAAGGAAUAUAGUGCUUCUGUUCCACAGAGUUUUGUUUUCUUUUGUUUGUUUGUCUGUCUGUUUUGGAGGAUAGGAGCUUAACUUCCAUGGGCACCAAUUAGGAAACAUAGAUGGUUUAAUCACAGGGAGAAAACAUUUGCAAACUCAAGAAUAACUCAAUGUGUUCAACACCUUGCAUGAUCAACCUUAAGCCUAACUUUCUCCAGUAUUUUUUCAGUAGUUCACCCAGCAAUUAAACUGUCUCCCCUGUUGUGUAUCUGUAGGAUUCAACUGAGACUUUAAUUUUAGCCUUUCUCCUUGAUUGCAAUAUUCUUUUUUUUUUUUUAAGGGCCUCACCCGAGGCACAUGGAGGUUCCCAGGCUUAGGGUCCAAUUGGAGCUACAGCUGCUGACCUACAGCAAUGCCUGAUCCAUACCAUGUCUGGGACCAACACCCACAGCUCACGGCAAUGCCGGAUCCUUAACCCACUGAGUGAGGCCAGGGAUCAAACACGCAACCUCAUGGCUCCUAGUUGGAUUCGCUUCCCCUGUGUCAAAAUGGGAAAUGCCAGAUUGCAAUAUUCUUGAAUGAAGUCUUCCUUGCUUGUCUAACUUUUUUUUGCUGCAAUUUUUGCUAGGACAGGAUCAACAAGGUGAGGACUGAUCAUUGGAGUUACCAACAUGAAUGUCAUUUGUGAAAUAUAGCUUUUUUCUUAUAAAUUUAAUGAAUCCCAGUACAUGAUUGAUAUGAAGAAAGUUCACAGUUUUCUGGCACUGGCAACACUUCUCAGACCCCCAAAUGCCCUGAAGAUCAUAUCCUGUGCUAUCUUUGCCCAGAGUCUUCAGAUCAUUCGUGAUGACAUUAUUGCAUCUUGUAAAUCUGGUUUAAUCAUCCUCAGGUAACUACCUCCAUUUAUAUUACUGGCAAAAAAAUAUUUGAGUGAAUAAAAUGAGCAAAAUUCAAUGCA